ACAUAAUCCUUUUAUAGCCCAUAAAUUUCAAGCUGAAAUCCUAUACACACUUACCUGAGAGUAAGUCCCAUUGGAGCUUCUUCUGAGUAGAUAUAGAUAGGAGUGCCACUGUAAGACAUAUCCAGCUGUAUGCCUUUCAAAUUUAAUUUGUGGGUUAUCUUGGGGAAAAUGCCAAGCGGUCAAUGUGUGCGUGAAAUGUGUCUUACGCAUCAGUGUGUUGUAUUAAAGCUGAAUACUUACUUUUAAACAUGAUGAAUCAAACACAUCUUUGAUCUGUUUCAUUGAACAUGAAUCCUGUGACUUACAUUCUUUUUUAAAAAAAUGCUUUGUUUCCAGCAAUAGCAGCAGGGUACUGGAAGAAACUGGAAGCAUCUGUUUCCACAGGAGACUUCCAUCACAUCAAUAAUUCAGCCUGGCCAGGCAUUCCCUUAAGACCUCCUGACUUUGAGAGAGAAGUGCCUUCAGAGGUUUACGGGGAAGAGGAACCUCUUGCAUAUCAGUGAUAUUUUUACCUUUAGAGUGAAGUUUAGACCAAACCAAUGGAUGUGUAAGCAGCUGAACAUUUGACUUCUAUCUUUGCUUUCCAAAUACAUGAGUUUGCUUAAGUGACUUUUCUUGUACAGAAAUAGUUCUGAUCAUACCAAGUCAAGGGUAUGUCGGUUCAGGUGCUGGUUAAGAUGAAAAUGUCAUCAACAGAUAAGACACAUUAGGAAUCUGAACACAGCAGGCUUUGAUUGUACCCUGCAAGGAAAUCAAUGGUGCAAUCACAGAUCAGAUUUUUGAUAGCAAGUUCCCAAUGUUGGUAAUAUACAUCAUGACAACCCCCCCCCCCAAUAACUUUACUUUAUCUUUUGAUUACACAUUUGCUGCUCGAAUUCCUUAUGUCAUGGCUUGCAGGGAAUGGCAGAAGGUGUAAUGGGCUGAUUUACUUUUUGGUUGCUGUGAUUUGCUGAAUUAAUCUCUACUGACAAUGUUAGCAGUGUUGUAUGCAUUGUUUUAAAGUCACAUUUACAUCAAAAUAUAUAAAAGAGAGUUCAAUGUGAACAAAAGUGUAACAUAUCUAAAGACAAAGUAUAUGGUGAAAUUGAAUGUUUUUAUUAUGGUAAAGGAG
Non-coding RNA from Podarcis lilfordi (Lilford's wall lizard), 1111 nucleotides. Lineage: Eukaryota; Metazoa; Chordata; Lepidosauria; Squamata; Lacertidae. The record is from the annotation of a GenBank genome assembly.